GUGGGGAAUCUUGCGCAAUGGGCGAAAGCCUGACGCAGCCAUGCCGCGUGAAUGAUGAAGGUCUUAGGAUUGUAAAAUUCUUUCACCGGGGACGAUAAUGACGGUACCCGGAGAAGAAGCCCCGGUUAACUUCGUGCCAGCAGCCGCGGUAAUACGAAGGGGGCUAGCGUUGCUCGGAAUUACUGGGCGUAAAGGGCGCGUAGGCGGACAGUUUAGUCAGAGGUGAAAGCCCAGGGCUCAACCUUGGAAUUGCCUUUGAUACUGGCUGUCUUGAGUACGGGAGAGGUGAGUGGAACUCCGAGUGUAGAGGUGAAAUUCGUAGAUAUUCGGAAGAACACCAGUGGCGAAGGCGACUCACUGGCCCGUUACUGACGCUGAGGCGCGAAAGCGUGGGGAGCAAACAGGAUUAGAUACCCCGGUAGUCC
Molecule: ribosomal RNA, 425 nt
Filed under: uncultured bacterium
Lineage: Bacteria
Description: partial 16S ribosomal RNA
Rfam family: Bacterial small subunit ribosomal RNA
Source: RNAcentral